AAGCCACCACCUGCUCAGAGUUACAUGUCAGAGCACUUUGCUAUCCCUCCCUCAGUAUCACUGAGAAGCAGCAGUAACUUAGUUCCCUUAUCUAGGGCAGCCAGCAGGAUGGCCACAGGGAAAUCAAAGGCGGGGUACGGGGUGGGGGUGGAAGCAGCAGGAGAAAACAACUUCCCGGUUUCUCUUUGCAGCUUAAGAAACUCUCUGGGGGUCUGGGGGAGCUUUCAAGUUGCUUUAUUUUGGUUAGUCCCUGAGAUGUGUGACUGGUGGAACACAGCCACCAGGGGGAUAAACAGUGGUUUCUCUUGGCCCUAAGGGUCAGGGGCCAGCUGUUCUGAAGGAAGCCAGCUUUUAACUGGCCCAGACGGUUCCCACAGCAACUCGGAUGGUAGGUCAGAAGGCCAUACCCUCCCCGCCUAGGAACUCGGUCAGUGGACUCCAAGGCAGAGUCUGUGGGAUUCAUCUCCAAAUGGACUAGAGGAGCUGCGACGUGGUGAUGGAUGAGGAGGUGGCCAAGAGAGAGACUCCAGCCAACACAGGUCAAGGCUUGCCAUCCCCACAUUUCCCCACUGUCCGUCCUGCGAAGAGCUGCAGGACCCAAGGGAGCACACAAAAGCUCUGGUCCUUAUCAAGCUGUGAGAUUCCCUGCUCUGGCCUGAGUGACACAGCUGCCACCCACUUGUCUCCAGGUGAAUCAGCCGUCACACUCUCAAGUUCACAAGAUGCCAGCAGCACCCCCUAUAUCAGGAGAAUUAAAAAUACCUCCUGGCAUUGCCAAAUGCCUCAGGGGCAAAAUCAUCCCCGGUUGAGAACCACUGAUAAAGAGAUUCUCAGCCCUUCCCCAACCCCUGGACCACCAUACAACACCCACCGAUGCCUCCAGCUCCCCGGGUGAGGGACCAGGAAUAGGAACCCAGAUGACAUCAGUGCACAGAGGAGGCAAAACUUGCCGAAACUCGAGAAUCAUUGCCUGGAGGCUCACAACGCUCUGCUAUGUCUUCUAAAUGUUUUUAAAGGGUUAAAUUAUUGUCAAUACAUUUUCCUGGCUAAAAUGUUUUUUGAGAAUUUGUAUUCUCUAUGGUUAGUACUUACAGUAAGUGCCUAGAAACCAGAGUUUGUCAUUUGUCAACAUAUAUGUAUAUAUAUGUAUACCUUUGUGUGUAUGUAUAUACAUACAUACAUAUAUUUACAAUCGCUAUCAGCCUUAUAAAAAUUUAGCAUAUUACUACGGCUUUAUUUUAUUCUCUAGCUCUUUCACCUCAUCAGUGAGAGUGUAAUUUCCCAAAGUAUAGAGACAUUGUAUUGCCUUAACGUUUUUAUACCUGCUUCAUCCCUAGAAUGUUUGGCCCUCCAACCUUGACCUUCACCUGCGGUGGUUUCCCAGUGACGCUACCUAUGUUCCACUUACGGGAGGCUGAGCAUUUUUUCAGGUUAGCAAUGGCCGUGACAUACUCUGGUCCCAAAUAUUUUUCAUAUGUUGUUUUGCCUCCAAGUUUGGCCAGACACUCAGUGUUGUCAUUGAACAGAAGGUUUUUGGUCUCAGACUGGAAUAAGCAAAACUUGCUCGGGCAGUGUUUUCCAUUUUUCCCAAACUGAGCCUGUGUCAAAAGGGCAGACAGUAAGAGAGCAGCGGAGGAAAACAGGAGAGGUUAUGGAUUCGGGGAGGCCAAGGGCAUUUCUUCUGCACAGGAUCAGCCACAGGAAAACCAUGGGGCAAAAGGAGCUAAGUUCUGGAAUCACUCUACUGUCCUGGCUAAGUCUUCCCCUGCCCCAUGGCCCCCUGCUCCACACCCCAGCCCAGUGCCCAGGCCCCUCACCACUUCUGAUCUCACCUCCCACCAUCUUGCCUUUCUUUUUAAUCUGUGGCCUCUUCCCUUAGAACUUCCUAUGUGUGACUAGGUGACAGCUGAGGAUUUUGAGAUCCACCCCCAAAGUAAUCACCUCUAGCAUUCUAAGAGGCCAGCUGUCCCAGAGAGGCAGACUGCAUUGGAAAUCCUCUCUGCCACGGACCCAGUCAUUGCCUUGGGCAGGUCACUUAGCCUCCCUUGGGCCUGGUUCCUCCUCCAUGCCCAGGCCUCCCACGGAGGUGAGCUGCAAGAACCAAGCACCUGCAUGGAAGCAGACCUCUUACGAGCACCUGUGAGUGUGCACAGCGGGGGCUCCAUAAAUGCUAGUUAUUGUGCCAAUUUUUACAUUCCAGGGCCACUUUCUUUAACGCACAUCUAGAAACAUGCCAUUUUAAUACAGAGCUAGAUGUCCUAAUAGAGAAUCCCAGACUUCAAGGAAAUUAUAGGAUUUCCUUCAAACCACUUCACGUAGAUAGCCUUAAAUCUAUACAAGUUCUGGGUUUGUUGUUUUUAGAGAUUACAAAUGCAGGGGCCCUGUCUAGAACAUCCCCAGUCGGCCCGGGCUCUGGAAACAUCAGCAGAGUAAAUCACUCUCUACCUGGCUAUGGGAGGAAGGCUCAGUCGCCUCCCUCAUUUGCCUGAAGAACAACAGGAGGCUCAAGGAGAGAAAGCAUCUCCCAGCCAGACCGUGAGCGCACGUCCAGGGCCAUGAGACUCAGGGCAGCCCCCCAGCAUGGAGCAAAUACUCUCAUCACCAGCUUCAAGCAGAGGGAUGGGACAGAAAGGCCGGGGAUGGGUGGAUUCCCUGAGCUCUGUGAUUGCCCCACCUAACAGGAGCCCCUGCAGGAGGCCCUGGUGACCCAUACCUGUUGAAGGAGCAGCACCUCUUCCACGUGUGCUGCCUUAUCGCUCCGAGAUACCACGGCAUGAUUUGGGGCCACAGCCAGGUAGCAGCUCUCAGCCACUGUCACAGGCUUCCUGGUGCCAUCAAGACACAGCAACUCAAAGUCGUCCCGAUUCAAUUUCCUAGCCCAGUCCGCAGUGUUCUCUCCUGGAGAUAUAAAGAAGGCAGCAUCAGCCACGGCUGCCACUCUGAGUCAAAGCAUCCUUUCUGGGUGGCUGUGACCAUCCACCGGCCUCUUGAAAUGCACACAUUGGGGUUGCAGUGAUGUGAAGGAGAGCAAAUAAAGCUCCACAAGAUACACAAACUUCAAACAUAUCAAGCAUUAGUGCUAUAUCCUCACGAUGGAGUAUUACUCAGCAAUAAAAAGGAGUCAAGUUCUGACACACGCUACGACGUGGAUGAACCUUGAAAACAUUACGCUAAGUAAAAGAAGGCAGUCACAAAAGAUCACAUAUCGUAGGACUCCAUUUAUGUGAAAUGUCCUGAAUACGCAAAUCUAUGGAGACAGAAAGUGAAUUGAUGGUUGCCAGCUCUGGGGGAGUGGGGAAGGGACUGAUAAUAGGUGUGGGGUUUCUUUAAGGGGUUUUGUGAAAGUUCUAGAAUUGGAUUCUGUUGGCAGCUGCACAACUUUGAAUGUGCUGGAGAUCACUGAAUCCCAUUGAAUCUACACUCUGAAUGGGUGGAUUUUGAAGUAUGUAAAUUGUAUCUCCAUAAAGCUGUUACAUUUCUUUAAAAGAAAACCCUCCAUGUAUGCCAGAUUUUCCAGUGAGUUCCAGAAAAAGAAGUGUUGGUUUGUGUUCAAGAAGAAAUUGUUGGGACUUCCCUGGUGGUCCAGUGGGUAAGACUACCAGCUCCUAAGGCAGGGGGCCCGGGUUCGAUCCCUGGUCGGGGAGCUAGAUCCUGCA
Non-coding RNA from Delphinapterus leucas (beluga whale), 3656 nucleotides. The record is from RefSeq and is a predicted model, not a curated record. Lineage: Eukaryota; Metazoa; Chordata; Mammalia; Artiodactyla; Monodontidae.